This 1259-nucleotide long non-coding RNA is filed under the name Homo sapiens (human). RNAcentral's name for it is "HSALNT0356937". The record is from RNAcentral. Lineage: Eukaryota; Metazoa; Chordata; Mammalia; Primates; Hominidae.
GCCCCCCCGGAACCCCCUCCCCUCCCCUUAGCGAGGAAGGAUUUGGGUCGCAGACCUGGGUGGUCCCAGGACUCCAGGGCCUGCAGUGGUGGGGUAGGGUGGGGUGGGGGCACUGCAGAGCUUCCCAAGGAAGUCAGGCGACCUCGCCUCCGGAUAUUCAGAAGUGCUAGUCCACUUCUGGCAGCCUGAACUCUUCCUCCUUUUUUUGAAAUCCGAGAAUACUCUUCCUUCCAGGGAGAGAAACUGACCUGUAAUCCCAGCUACUCAGGAGGCUGAAGCAGGAGAAUCGCUUGAACCUGGGAGUCAGAGGCUGCAGUGAAGCGAGAUCGCAACAUUGCAUUCCAGCCUGAAGUGCUGCUGUAGGUACUAUGGCUCCUGAAGUUGCUUUCCCUGCAGUAACUGGAGUCCUCCUCGUCGUCUUCCAGCUCCUCCGGAUGACAUGAUUGUAUAUUUGGAAAACCCAUCGUCUCAGCCCAAAAUCUCCUUAAGCUGAUAAGCAACUUCAGCAAAGUCUCAGGAUACAAAAGCAAUGUGCAGAAAUCUCAAGCAUUCUAUACACCAAAAAUAGAGAUCCAAAUCAUGAGUGAACUCCCAUUCACAAUUGCUACAAAGAGAAUAAAAUACCUAGGAAUCCAACUUACAAGGGAUGUGAAGGACCUCUUCAAGGAGAACUACAAACCACUGCUCAAGGAAAUAAAAGAGGACAUAAACAAAUGGAAACAUUCCAUGCUCAUGAAUAGGAAGAAUCAAUAUCAUGAAAAUGGCCAUACUGCCCAAAGUAAUUUACAGAUUCAAUGCUAUCCCCAUCAAGCUACCAUUGAUUUGCUUCACAGAAUUAGAAAAAACUACUUUAAAUUUCUUAUGGAACCAAAAAAGAGCCCGUAUAGCCAAGACAAUCCUGAGCAAAAAGAACAAAGCUGGAGGCAUCACGCUACCUGACUUCAAACUAUACUACAAGAAGGUUGUUGCUGCUGAGUCUUUGGGGCUGUGCUGUCUUUGUGAGCUGUAACACUCACUGUGAAGGUUUGCGGCUUCACUCCUGAAGGCAGUGAGACCACUAACCCACCAGGAGGAACAAACAACUCCAGACGCGCACCGUUUUUAUGAACUGUAACACUCAUCAUGAAGGUCUGCAGCUUCGUUCCUGAGGCCAGCAAGACCACAAACCCACCGGAAGGAAGAAACUCCAGACACGUCUGAACAUCUAAAGGAACAAACUCCAGACGCACCAUCUUUAAGAACUGUUAACACUCACCGCC